GACGGGGGAUGCAAGUGUUAUCCGGAAUCACUGGGCGUAAAGCGUCUGUAGGUGGUCAAAUAAGUCAACUGUUAAAUCUUGAAGCUCAACUUCAAAAUCGCAGUCGAAACUACUAGACUAGAGUAUAUUAGGGGUAAAGGGAAUUUCCUGUGGAGCGGUGAAAUGCGUAGAUAUUGGAAGGAACACCAAAGGCGAAGGCACUUUACUGGGCUAUUACUGACACUGAGAGACGAGAGCUAGGGGAGCAAAUGGG
This 253-nucleotide ribosomal RNA is filed under the name uncultured bacterium. RNAcentral describes it as "partial 16S ribosomal RNA". It matches the Rfam family "Bacterial small subunit ribosomal RNA", at positions 524 to 776 of the family's 1533-position model. The record is from RNAcentral.